This 448-nucleotide ribosomal RNA is filed under the name uncultured bacterium. Its description in RNAcentral is "bacterial SSU rRNA". It matches the Rfam family "Bacterial small subunit ribosomal RNA", at positions 8 to 504 of the family's 1533-position model. The record is from RNAcentral.
AGAGUUUGAUCCUGGCUCAGAACGAACGCUGGCGGCAGGCUUAACACAUGCAAGUCGAGCGCCCCGCAAGGGGAGCGGCAGACGGGUGAGUAACGCGUGGGAAUCUACCCAGCUCUACGGAAUAACCCAGGGAAACUUGGACUAAUACCGUAUACGUCCUUCGGGAGAAAGAUUUAUCGGAGUUGGAUGAGCCCGCGUCGGAUUAGCUAGUUGGUGAGGUAAUGGCUCACCAAGGCGACGAUCCGUAGCUGGUCUGAGAGGAUGAUCAGCCACACUGGGACUGAGACACGGCCCAGACUCCUACGGGAGGCAGCAGUGGGGAAUAUUGGACAAUGGGCGAAAGCCUGAUCCAGCCAUGCCGCGUGAGUGAUGAAGGCCCUAGGGUUGUAAAGCUCUUUCACCGGGGAAGAUAAUGACGGUACCCGGAGAAGAAGCCCCGGCUAACUUC